UGGAUGUUUUUAGACAAAUGUUGAAGCUCACGGAGGAGCAGUAACAUUGCAAUAACAGAAACUGAGUUUCAGUUGAGUUGAAAAAGCAAUUACCUGGUACUACAUAAUAAAGUGGGGACAAGGAAACAUUUUAUGAUGUUAUGAUUCCUCUUCCUCACAGCUUUUUUGAGGUGGGGUGGGGGUUACUAUGACUUUUGCAUUUAACCAUGAGGCUACCAAUGGCCACCUCAGCUCUGCUGCACUCCUCCCCUCCCAAAACAGCCUCUGGACAGUAAUGUUUGUCUUAAGUCUAGCUUCCUCAGACAUUUAUUCGGGAGCUUUCCUGGAGGCUUAGCACAAAGGCAGACCCGAGGAAGAACCAUCGAGGCACAGCCAGCAUCUCACCACCAGGCCAGGGAUGCCGCUGGGAUGACGGAGCCGACAGGGUCCCCUGCCCCGCAUCCUCCACCCUGCCGAAGUCGAGGUUAAAACCCUGAAAUCCGAAGCCCUGAAACCGAGCUGCUUGGCCCCGCCGGUGGCACGGCCUCGCCACACACGCCCGUGUCCGCUCGGUGGCCCGGGCGCCGUCGGGAUGGGAAGAGAGGCGAGGGGGUGGGGAGGGCGUGGGGGUGCGACAGAACGCGAACAGGGAGCAGCUGCCUGGAGUGACCGUGACCCGUGGGUUUUGUGUGAUGACCGCGGAGCUGGAGGGGAGGGGUGAAGGAGCAGGGGAGAGGGGGUUUCUCACGAGCAGGAAAAGGUAGGAAUCCGUGUGCUUGCGUGAGGGAGAAAGGGGGAACCGCUGAGGUUUUAUUCUUGAGAGAAGCAAUUAAACACAAAUUAUUUGCAUUCACGCGACGGGAAGAUAGUCCCAUCUCUCUGUCCCUUCUCCUUGGGGUGGCCGACGGGGCAGCCCGUGGGCCUGGGUCUGUGCCCGGGCCCCUCCUCAGAGCAUCACCGGGCGGCGGGUGAGGCUCUCCCGCAUCCCCCUCCGCACCCGCGCACCCUCGGCGCUCCCCCGCCCUGCCCGGCCUCGCCUCGCCGCCACGUCCGGGGCAGUGAGUGAGAGAAACUCAAGUUAAAGAAGGGGUUGAACAGGAGCUGCUCCCCGGCCCGGCUCCGAGUCCGCGGUGAGCCCCCGGGGUUCGGGAGGAGCGGGACGGGGCCAGGAGCGCUCCGUGCGGCCGGUGGGUGCCGGCGACCGAACAAGUCCAGUCUUCCCAGGCUGCAUUUUAAUCCUGAAAUCUGGAAAUGGAAAUUGUUUGAUGUAUGAGGAGACGUUAUCUAAUUAGGGCGUAAGAAAUUUAAUCUUUCCAGCAGGCAGGUCAUAUAAUUAAUGUUAAUUUAACGCUCAAAUUCUCAGUCAUUAAUUUUUAUUCUCUUAAAUGUAGUUUGGCAGGGCCCCCUGAUCCAUGGCAAUGGAUUUUACUGAAUGUAAGAGCACACUUGGUCUUUGGAGUGAAUUACUGCAGCCCUUCCUAUCCCAAUAACAAGAUCACAUCAUGUAUGCAUUAUUAAGCCAUGUAAUUGAAUGGUCCAUAGUUUGCAUAUCAGACUAUUAAAGUAAUGUGUUUUGCUUUUCUUCCAA
Long non-coding RNA from Pseudopipra pipra, 1567 nucleotides. RefSeq lists it as uncharacterized. The record is from RefSeq and is a predicted model, not a curated record. The transcript is spliced from 2 exons. Lineage: Eukaryota; Metazoa; Chordata; Aves; Passeriformes; Pipridae.